RNAcentral lists this ribosomal RNA (378 nucleotides) under uncultured bacterium. RNAcentral describes it as "bacterial SSU rRNA". It matches the Rfam family "Bacterial small subunit ribosomal RNA", at positions 30 to 412 of the family's 1533-position model. The record is from RNAcentral.
AUUGAACGCUGGCGGAAUGCUUUACACAUGCAAGUCGAACGGUAGAGGGGGCAACCCCUUGAGAGUGGCGAACGGGUGAGUAAUAUAUCGGAACGUGCCCAGUCGUGGGGAUAACGUAGCGAAAGCUACGCUAAUACCGCAUACGAUCUAUGGAUGAAAGCGGGGGAUCGCAAGACCUCGCGCGAUUGGAGCGGCCGAUAUCAGAUUAGGUAGUUGGUGAGGUAAAGGCUCACCAAGCCGACGAUCUGUAGCUGGUCUGAGAGGACGACCAGCCACACUGGGACUGAGACACGGCCCAGACUCCUACGGGAGGCAGCAGUGGGGAAUUUUGGGACAAUGGGCGCAAGCCUGAUCCAGCAAUGCCGCGUGCAGGAUGAA